UACGUAGGGCGCAAGCGUUAUCCGGAAUUAUUGGGCGUAAAGAGCUCGUAGGCGGUUUGUCGCGUCUGCCGUGAAAGUGCGGGGCUUAACUCCGGAUCUGCGGUGGGUACGGGCAGACUAGAGUGCAGUAGGGGAGACUGGAAUUCCUGGUGUAGCGGUGAAAUGCGCAGAUAUCAGGAGGAACACCGAUGGCGAAGGCAGGUCUCUGGGCUGUAACUGACGCUGAGGAGCGAAAGCAUGGGGAGCGAACAGG
Molecule: ribosomal RNA, 253 nt
Filed under: uncultured bacterium
Lineage: Bacteria
Description: partial 16S ribosomal RNA
Rfam family: Bacterial small subunit ribosomal RNA
Source: RNAcentral